Molecule: ribosomal RNA, 264 nt
Filed under: uncultured archaeon
Lineage: Archaea
Description: partial 16S ribosomal RNA
Rfam family: Archaeal small subunit ribosomal RNA
Source: RNAcentral
ACACGACUACAUUAGAUACCCGUGUAGUCCUAGCCGUAAACGAUACUCGCUAGGUGUCGGCCACGGUGCGACCGUUGUCGGUGCCGUAGGGAAGCCGUGAAGCGAGCCACCUGGGAAGUACGGCCGCAAGGCUGAACUUAAAGGAAUUGGCGGGGGAGCACAACAACGGGUGGAGCUUGCGGUUUAAUUGGAUUCAACGCCGGAAAUCUUACCGGGACCGACAGCAACAUGAAGGCCAAGCUGAAGACUUUGCCGGAUUAGCUG